UACGAAGGGGGCUAGCGUUGUUCGGAAUUACUGGGCGUAGAGCGCACGUAGGCGGGUCGUUAAGUCAGGGGUGAAAUCCCGGAGCUCAACUCCGGAACUGCCUUUGAUACUGGCGAUCUAGAGAUCGAGAGAGGUGAGUGGAAUUCCGAGUGUAGAGGUGAAAUUCGUAGAUAUUCGGAAGAACACCAGUGGCGAAGGCGGCUCACUGGCUCGAUACUGACGCUGAGGUGCGAAAGCGUGGGGAGCAAACAGG
RNAcentral lists this ribosomal RNA (253 nucleotides) under uncultured bacterium. Its description in RNAcentral is "partial 16S ribosomal RNA". It matches the Rfam family "Bacterial small subunit ribosomal RNA", at positions 524 to 776 of the family's 1533-position model. The record is from RNAcentral.